Long non-coding RNA from Mesoplodon densirostris (Blainville's beaked whale), 1309 nucleotides. RefSeq lists it as uncharacterized. NCBI's taxonomy places the organism in Eukaryota, Metazoa, Chordata, Mammalia, Artiodactyla, Ziphiidae. The transcript is spliced from 3 exons. The record is from RefSeq and is a predicted model, not a curated record.
GUCAGGCUCUUCCUGAACUAGUUUCAUCAUGGACCUUCCAGGGUCUGCAGACGCCUCAUCUUUCAGCAGCGUGACGGCCACCCUCUAUGCCUUGGAAACAGAUGAACAAGAUGUUAUGAAUUCUGUGUCGUGCAACCAGGAGACGUUGGUGUAAAAGGACAGGAGACUAGGACGUGUACGUUUGAGGUCCUCACCUCCUCGCCUGCAUCCUGCUGUGGUUGGCAGAGCUGAGACCCCAGCGUCUGGGACUUUUCAUGUGGUGGCCUGAGAGGAACACACCAGGGCCCCUUCUGCAGGUGCACAGACUCUGCAGGAUGUCCGCUCGGAUAAGGAACAUCCUGACACCCUUCCUGGGAGAACCAUAGGGUGACAAGGAGGCUCCCAGGGACCAAGGACCAGCACAAGGAAGACAGCUGCCAGAGGGUCAGAGAUUCCUGACUGCCUUCAUCGCAGUUGCAGGAGAGGGCCACCAUCAUCCAAGAGGACCUCAUCUCAGACCCUUCACUUCCAUCUGGAUAAUCAAGAAUGAUCUCUUCAUCUCAAGAUCCUUCAUUAGUUACAUAUGCCAGCCCUUUUGCCAACAAAGUCAUAUCCACAGGUAACAGGGUUUAGGACCUGGUCAUAUCUUUUUGGUAGAAAAUACUGAAUCCACUUCAUGGUACAUGAACUGGAUACUUGGAAACUCAGGAAACAUCCAUUCCUUUUCUGGUGACCUGGAAAACCAUGGAGGUCACAGCUUCUAUAUGUACCCAAGGCCGCUUUCCUGGGCGAGUGACCCAUGUUGCUGCACAGGAUCCUGGGCUCAUAAGGACGCCUAUUGGCUUAAUGCCCUAUGACCGCCAUCUUGAAAUUCUUAAUGAAGUGUGAACAAGGACCCACAUUUUCAUUUUGCCCUGGAACUGCAAAUGCAAUAGCCAUCUUUGCUCACAUUCCUUCCAACCUCAAGAAAGAGGAGCAAGUCUGCACCCAAUAAGGACAUCCCCACCUGCAGCACACCCUCCAUCCAGCCACUGAUGUGCUCAAGCCUACCUUGCAUAGGUGGUGAAGACCUCUCCCCAAGAUCCAGUAAGGCUAGUGGGUUUUGGCUGCACACUGGGGAGCCUCUGAAAUCCACUAAUGCUCAGCUCCACCAUCAAGAGAAUCCCCAAGUUUGUUCAUCUGGGCACCGGCAUUUAUUAGACCUCCUCGAGCCAUCCUCUUGUUCAGGCAAGUUUUGAGACCCUCUGGGCCAGGCAAAUGCAGAUUGAAGCUUCCAGCCCUGGGCGCCAGCCCCUCCCAGAACUGCUCAGAUGUUCUGCUAAGCCCUACA